Molecule: long non-coding RNA, 1153 nt
Filed under: Homo sapiens (human)
Lineage: Eukaryota; Metazoa; Chordata; Mammalia; Primates; Hominidae
Description: HSALNT0379278
Rfam family: Small nucleolar RNA SNORD113/SNORD114 family (bases 1-69)
Source: RNAcentral
ACCAAUGAUGAGUAUUCUGGGGUGUCUGAAUCAAUGAUUUUGAUUAAACCCUGUAACUCUGAGGUCCAUUAUAAGAGGAGACCUAGUUAAUACCUAUAUGGUAAAUGAUAUUAUAGUGGAAGUUAGAAUUAUUUGGGAUUUUGUUCUUAGGUGGUUGAAGUUCAUAGGUGUGGAUUGUAUUACUAGAAAAGAUUUAGUAAAUGAAAAAUGAAACAAAUAUGUAAAUAAAGGAAGACAAGUAGAGCCAUAUGUUGCCUAAUUAUGAGAAUGUAUAAUGUAUUUAUUAUUAUUAACACACUUCUGAAGCACUCAGUUUCAACAUAAAUUGAUUAAAUCUGAUACCUAUUUGGGUAAGGAAUAUACAUACAGAGACAAGUACCUAGAAAUCAGUAUUGUUUGUCCUGCAUUAUUUAGAUGUUGCUGUUUCUUAAUGAACACAAGAAAAUAUGAUCUAGUCUGGGAAUCAUGAGCAAAUGACAGGUGUUAACGCCAUUCAUAUUUCUGAUGCAAUCUGUAUGUUCACAGAUAUUGAUGAUGUCAUGAGUGAAUGUAUACACAGGAGUGAAUGUAUUCAGUUAUUUGAGGAAGAAUGAAAACCAUGUAGCUGGUCUUAUUAUUCUCUAAUCAUGAAGACCAUUAUUGUUAUUUGUGGACUAAGGAGCAGAAAGACUGAUAGUGGACAUAGGCCAGCUGAUUUAAUAAUUUAAGAAAGAACUGUUAUCCUGAGUAAGGAGCAUAGAGACAAAUAUAAAAUGAACGCACUCUACCUGAUUUAAUUAUAGUCUUCUGGUGAAGAUCUUGCUGUUAUCUCUGUGAAUCAGGAGAGAAGAGAUUGAUAAGGAAUAGACGAGAUUGGAUUUGGUCAUUUCCCCAAGGUGAAGAGCAUGGCGAUUUCUUCUGUGGUAAGGAGCAAUAAUGAAGACCAUGGUUGAUUUAAUCAGUCUCUGCUGAUGAAGAUCUUGGCUGUUACCUUUGUGUGUAAGGAAGCUAAAGACUUAAGUAAAUAACAGUCCAAAAACUUGUCAAUUAGGAAUGAAUGCGCAAUGAUUCAAUUAUUCUCCAGCGAGGAAGAUCAUGGUUGUUGUCUGUUUGAGUAAUGAGUGUAGAAACCUAUGUAAGUAACAAAGUGAUUGCUUUUGCUUUAGUGGUUGUU